AAAAGUCGUAACAAGGUUUCCGUAGGUGAACCUGCGGAAGGAUCAUUAACACUUUCAUUUUAUUGAAAAUUUAUUUUUCAAUAAUUUACUUACCCACAUUUUUGGAUGAAUUAUUUCUUUUUUAUUCUUUUUUAAAUUUUAAACCCAAAUACCAUAUUAUUUCUAACAUUUACACAAAAAGUUUAAGAAAAACAUAAAAAACAACUCUUAACAACGGAUAUCUAGGCUCUC
Molecule: unclassified non-coding RNA, 231 nt
Filed under: fungal sp.
Lineage: Eukaryota; Fungi
Description: partial internal transcribed spacer region
Rfam family: Eukaryotic small subunit ribosomal RNA (bases 1-48)
Source: RNAcentral